This is a long non-coding RNA of Gossypium arboreum, 762 nucleotides long. RefSeq lists it as uncharacterized. NCBI's taxonomy places the organism in Eukaryota, Viridiplantae, Streptophyta, Magnoliopsida, Malvales, Malvaceae. The record is from RefSeq and is a predicted model, not a curated record. The transcript is spliced from 2 exons.
ACGCAUGAAUUAGCGAGCUAAAUUUUAAAACAUAAGGGAGGGAAAUUGGGGCGCAAAUUGAAGGCUGUGCACAAGGGAAGGAUUCAGCGCGCAAUUUCCCCAUUCACACAACAUGGUGCAGAUCCAUUUUACUAUUCGGGCCCACGCGCGGACCUUUAUGGUCAUGGGCAGCACUGUUUUGUAUUUCAGACCAUUUUAAACCAUUUUUCCCUUCCUUUCCUUUCAAAUACCCAUCCAUUUUAACAAAAACCAGCAGCCUUAAAAUUAAAUUUGCUAGGGUUCCUUUUACAAGCAGCUAGAUCUCCAUCAAAUUUGGUGUCCAGCGGCGCGCAAAACAAUUCCCGAUUCUGUUGCUGUAAGUACUCGAUUAUGCCUUGAGGAAAUUAGUGCGGAGCACGGGGUUGUGUGUUGGCACUCGAGUAUGGGUUCAGAGACUGGGGCGACGUGAGGCCGUGCGUUGGCCCUUGGCACGAGGGUAUGGGGCGAUGGCAGACAGUAUGGGCGAUUGAACUUGGGGGCUGAGAAGUUUUAGGACUAGUUGGGCUAAGGUUUAGUUUUGGGCUUGGGUAUAUUGGGCUGUUAUAUUUGUUUAUGGGCCCGGGCUAUAUUGGGUCUGUACAAAAGGUAUAAAAGGAGAAAAAAGGACACAUUACCUUGCAUUUCCUGGUAUUCAAGCUGUAGUGAGAGCAACUGUCCCUGAAAACUAUAUAAAAGAAAAUUUCAUCCCACAGUAAUACAAUUUGAGAAGACAAAUUCAAAAUA